Molecule: ribosomal RNA, 1100 nt
Filed under: Lactiplantibacillus plantarum
Lineage: Bacteria; Bacillati; Bacillota; Bacilli; Lactobacillales; Lactobacillaceae
Description: bacterial SSU rRNA
Rfam family: Bacterial small subunit ribosomal RNA
Source: RNAcentral
GGUUUUCGGGCUUCGUAAAAACUUCUGUUUGUUAAAAGAAAGAAAAAUAUUUGAGGAGUAACCUGUUCCAGGUAUUGGACGGGUAUUUAACCCAGAAAAGCCCACGGGUUAACUUACGUGCCCAGCAGCCGCCGGUAAUACGUAGGUGGCCAAGCGUUUGUCCCGAUUUUAUUGGGGCGUAAAGCGAGCGCCGGCGGUUUUUUAAGUUCUGAUGUGAAAAGCCUUCGGCUCAACCGAAGAAGUGCAUCGGAAACUGGGAAACUUGAGUGCAGAAGAGGACAGUGGAACUCCAUGUGUAGCGGUGAAAUGCGUAGAUAUAUGGAAGAACACCAGUGGCGAAGGCGGCUGUCUGGUCUGUAACUGACGCUGAGGCUCGAAAGUAUGGGUAGCAAACAGGAUUAGAUACCCUGGUAGUCCAUACCGUAAACGAUGAAUGCUAAGUGUUGGAGGGUUUCCGCCCUUCAGUGCUGCAGCUAACGCAUUAAGCAUUCCGCCUGGGGAGUACGGCCGCAAGGCUGAAACUCAAAGGAAUUGACGGGGGCCCGCACAAGCGGUGGAGCAUGUGGUUUAAUUCGAAGCUACGCGAAGAACCUUACCAGGUCUUGACAUACUAUGCAAAUCUAAGAGAUUAGACGUUCCCUUCGGGGACAUGGAUACAGGUGGUGCAUGGUUGUCGUCAGCUCGUGUCGUGAGAUGUUGGGUUAAGUCCCGCAACGAGCGCAACCCUUAUUAUCAGUUGCCAGCAUUAAGUUGGGCACUCUGGUGAGACUGCCGGUGACAAACCGGAGGAAGGUGGGGAUGACGUCAAAUCAUCAUGCCCCUUAUGACCUGGGCUACACACGUGCUACAAUGGAUGGUACAACGAGUUGCGAACUCGCGAGAGUAAGCUAAUCUCUUAAAGCCAUUCUCAGUUCGGAUUGUAGGCUGCAACUCGCCUACAUGAAGUCGGAAUCGCUAGUAAUCGCGGAUCAGCAUGCCGCGGUGAAUACGUUCCCGGGCCUUGUACACACCGCCCGUCACACCAUGAGAGUUUGUAACACCCAAAGUCGGUGGGGUAACCUUUUAGGAACCAGCCGCCUAAGGUGGACAAAUUUUGGUAA